This 20268-nucleotide long non-coding RNA is filed under the name Lactuca sativa (garden lettuce). RNAcentral describes it as "long non-coding RNA (LSAT_LNC009635)". Lineage: Eukaryota; Viridiplantae; Streptophyta; Magnoliopsida; Asterales; Asteraceae. The record is from RNAcentral.
GUGUUCUUGGACUUUUGGACCUUUUUCAAGCUUCUAUAUUGUAAGUACUUCUAUCCUAGAGUAUGUUAAGGCUUGAUACACUUCUUUACAUCAAGAAAACACCAUUGAAACCCAAGAUCAAAGGUGUUUACGGUCCAAGAACACCUUGGACUGUAAACCCUAAUCUAGGGGCCAAAGUGACCCUAGUCCCUUCACAAGCUUUGGAAACCAGUCUAGACUCAUUCCUUAAUAUUUUUAGGACUUGAAAGCAUCAAAAUACCAUAUUCCAUAAGGGUUUAUGGUAGUAAACCCAAAAGUAAAUGGCCUUAGGGCCGUAAACUCCUCAAAGGAGGGAAAUGGUGCCCUAAUCUCUUCCAAAGGCUUAACCAUCAAGUAGAAAUGCUUCUAAAGGACUUGUAGGGCUUCAAAACAAAACAUGAUCAAAGGAGUAUGAGUUUACGACCGUAAACUCAUGAGUUUACGACCGUAAACUCAAUGAGUGAUGGUCAUAAACCCGCAAACUCAUUUAAAGGGGUUUCCUUAUGUCACAAUCAGGAUUUUUGAGCCUUGUAACUACAACACUUAAGUCAAAUUAUGAAUUAAAAACAUAAGAGCAUGUAUGAUGCUUACUCUAUGACAACAAAAUUUCAAUCAAACACCCCAUGCACACAAUUCAAAUAGUCGUUAAACAAUUGGAAACCCUAGAAGUUCUUGUUUAAGUCCAUUUUUGGACUAGGACUUCUUUAUUGGGCCCAAAGGACCAAUAAGCUUCCAAUUUGGCUAUCUUGGGCUUAGAACUCUUAAAUGGGCUCUAAUUGGACCCAUUUCCAUUUAAUUCAAUAUUUUGGGCCAUAUUGGGCCUAGAAUGAAAUAGAUUAAUUAUAUGAACCAUUUUGGACCAUAAUUAACCUAAUCUAGCCUAAUAAAGCAUAAAAAUCACAUUUAUAUUUUUAUAGGGCCAAAAAUCAUCCAACCUAACUAUAACAUGGGCUUAAGGGCAAAAAGCCCAAAAACCGCCUCUCACCCUCCCCAUUCUCGGCCCAAGCCCAAGAGAAAAAGGAGUUGACUUUGUGAGUGACACCUCACAAUUAUUCAUGGGACAUCCAUGCAUGAGAACUCAAACAUCCAUGCACUCACAUACUUCCAAGCUUAGCCACUCUUUUUCUCCUUCUCUCUAUCUUGCUCUCGGCUGAGUUCAAGCACACACACACACACACACAUUUCACUCACUUUUCUCUCAAGAAAACUCCCUCAUAUCUCCUCCAUAUUUUCGAAAUCUAAGAAGGAUUCAAGGGGAUUCUUACACAAAUACUUCAUCUAAGGUAAGAUAAAGUUUGGAUCUAUGAUAUAGGUUCUUUGUUUCAUCAAAAUCUCCUUCUAAUCCAUGUAAAAAUCAUGCUCACUCUCUUAGAGACCCUCUAAGUUCGAGAUCUUCCAAGGAGGGGUACUAAGGCCGAAUUUUCUUCUCAUUUUCUUCCAAAAACCGAAACCACACCCAAAGGUGAGCUUCAUACCCCUUAUUUUUCUGUUUUUAUAAGUUUUUGUGGGGGAGAAUACAAGCAAAUGUGUAGAUCUAUGAGUUCAUGUAUGUCUUGUGUGAUUUUAUGCAUGUAUGUAUGGUUUUUAUGUGUUAUGUGAUGAUUAUGUUAGCUAAAAAUACCUAAAAACCGAGAUAUACAAUAUGAAGAAUUAAAUAAACAUAGCUUAUACCAUUCUACACUAAUCAAGUCAAUAAAAAUGAUUUACUUAGUUAAGAUGAACAUUUUUGGACACAAAACCCAUUUUGGGCUCAAAAUGUCAAAAAUACAAAACUAAGGGGGGCCAAAACGACAAAACAUAAUUACUGGAGGUUGAAACAAGUCCAAACAGUUUUUAAGAUAAUUUUUCUGAAUAACAACAUUUUGUAGGGGCUUAAAAUGUGAAUUUUAAACCUAAUGGGCUAAAAAAUGGGCUUUUCGGCCCAAUAAGCCCCAAAUUGCGAAAAAUUGGAAAUAGAGGGGCUGAAACUGCACAUUCCUAAAAAACAGGGGAUUAAUAGCAUAAUAAAACUAUUUCAAGGGUCAAAAAUAUUUUCAAAUUAAAAAGGGACUAAAAAUGCAAAAAUUUUCCAUUUUGGGCCAAAAUUGUAAAAGUUGCGAAAAUGGGGGUUUCAACCGAGAAAAUUUCAUUUUUGAGGGACUUAAGUUGUUUAUUAAGUAAACUUGGGCUGAAAAUGUCUUUUCAACAAGUUUUGGUACUAAAGUGUCAAGAAAAAUGGUUUAAGGACUAAAAUGGAAAUUCUUUCAUAUAAAGGGCUAAAAGUAUAAAUUUUAUCCAAGUAGGGGAAACAAAAAGAAAAACUCUAAUUUUUAAAACAAUAAAUCCCUUAAGGUAAAAAUUCGAGUACCACGGCUACCGGUGAAACGUAAUAGCAAAUACACCUUCAACACCCAAAAAUCGUUACCAAACGAAUUGAUUCGGUCUCGAAUCAAUAACAAAUCAAAAAUCAAUAAACAACGAUACUUCAAUACACACGUGGAAAUUUACGAGAAGUCAAUACACCAUCUUUGGGCCCGAAAGUUUCAAAUUGUGCUUGUUGGGCCUAGCUAGCCCAAUGACAUGAUCUUUAGGCCCGAAGGAAACGCGCUUACAUGUUGUUGGGCCUUAUAUGACCUAAUUCCGUGUAAAAGGACUUUCAAUAGCUUUUGUGCUGUUGGGCCCCAAGGGUCCUUCGGUACUGCUAGCAAAUUCGAGAAGUCAAAUGUGAGUCGGGCCAAGGGCCUUUUGCAUUCACGAUAGCCUUGAACGACUUAUGGAAAUAACGGGGGAUUCACACCCUCUUUUCUCCUCGGUUGUGGGGUUAUGAGAAGUCAGGGUGGUUGGAUUAAGUAAGUAGUACGGACGACGCCUAAGGGAUCGUUUGUAAACUAGUCAUUUUUAAUAAUGCGUGCUUAUAACGACUCACAACCCAUAAUUAAUCAAAUGUGACCUGGAACUAUAGAAUACAACGUCGUAUCGGAAUAAUACUAACUAAGCCACAUAAUUUGAGGUAUUAGGAAAACAUCGGGUUUUCCUAGGGAAUUCAACACUUUCACCUAUGCGAUUUAUUCAAAGUCUAACAAUUAUUCACAUUUACAGAAAUCAACAAGCAUACUUACGGCUCUUCACACUUUUUCUUACUUACAAUAAUCUUUUCAGAAAAUAUCGGAUUUUCUGGUGGUUUUCAAAAUAAUACAAAUCAUUACUUUACAAACAUUAUUUAUGAACUCACCAACAUUUCAUAUGUUGACGUUUUUCCAAAAUACUUGUAUUCUCAGGUAACAGGUAAAUCGAAGAAAAUGUAUCCAGUGAUAUCACGAUGUUUUGUGUAAUUAGAUGCAAUCCUUGGGACUUAUAACACUUACAUAAGGUGUUUAGCAUGUCCUAGAUCGCCUCUACAGCGAAAGUUCUUCAUCGAGCUCUGCUGAGGCGUGACUUUAUUUUGAAUCAUAAGCAUACAUUUGAUUAUAUUAUGUGUUCGUUCUUUUACUGUUCUUGACUUGUUUGAUUUCAAUAUUCAUACCUGUGAAAGAUCUAAUCGAUCUAGAAUUUUAUUCUCAUCAAUUGGUAUCAGAGCAGGAGAUUGUGUAAUUCAUACACAUCUCUUCUGUUGAAGAAGUUAUUAGGGUUUUUAAUUCCGCAUUGAUUGAUAUUUAUUGAGCCGCCACUCUAUAUUGACAUAUCUCAUUAAUUGUUGAUCUAACCCUAAUGAUAUAUUACAAGUCUAAUCUUUUACAGGUUAUUGAUCAAAAGUCUUUACAAUGUCAAUGGAUGAUUCACAAACCAAUCCGAUCAAUAUCUCCAACAGCAUAGUGUCACACCCCGGUCGUCGGCGGAAACACCGGGUAGUGUAACGUCAUUUUUCGUAUCACAUUUCAUUGAACAAUACUUAAAGAACAUACCUUUAUUGAUGAUUGAAAGUUACAUUAUUGUUUUUCCUAGUAUUUAUUACAUAAUAUCUGACUAUGACAUGCUUCUUAAAGAAUAGAAAGAUACUAGUAAAACUUCUCCUGUUCGAAUACAUACCCGCUUUUCAAGUUCCUGAAAACACAUGCAUUUUAAAAUACGUCAACAUAAAGUUGGUGAGUCCACAGGUUUUGACUCCAUAAAAUAAUACAUUUUUACACAUUCAAAAGUAUAGUUUUGAAAGUAUCAUUUUGACUCUCCAACAUUAGGUAUAAUUGUAUACUUAUCAAUUAAGUGUUAUACCUAAACAUUUCUUAAUCUUAAGGUAUAAGUAGGGGGAAACUUAUACUUAACAUUAAUACUUGUAUACAACAAGGUAUAAUGUUUCUAACAAUGUGCUACCAUGAGCCUGUUACCGCUGCUAUGAUAGAACGUCUUCUGUCGGGAUCAAGAACUCACUCUGGUAGUUCUCGUCGCCGAUAGAUUCUCAUCAACUUCUCUCUUUUGGAUAUAACCUAGUUAUGUAAAACUCUGGUCUUAUUCCCUAUCUUUGUAAAUCAUAGGCCUGUUAGGUCUUGGUUAGGUUGUACUUCUGUCAAAAUUUUCCCAUCUUGGUUUAUGUAAGGCCUCCUUCUAUUGGUCGUUUUUCCCGAACUUUUUACAUCUAUAAUUCCAGUAUUAUUGACUGGUACUUAAUCUCAUGGGAAUUAUUAUCCAAAUGUGAUCAUCUAUUAGUUCGAGAUCUACAUUUAAUCAUAUUGUUGGGCUAUGAAGAGUUAGUCCAUGAGUCAUUCUCAUCAAUUCUUCCAUUAAAUUCUUAUCAAUGUUUUCGUCUUCAUAAACUUAUAGAUCAAAGAUGCCGCCUCGCAGGAAUCCAAGUCGUAACCCUAAUAACGAAACAUCGAUACCACCACCUCAACCACCUACUCCUCAGUUCGACACGACAGCCCUAAAUGUUGUUGUAGCUGCAGUUAUGGCUACAGCCACGGCUCAAUAUCAUUCAUCUGGCUCUACUGGAAGAGGAACCCCUGUCCUGUCUACUCAUGGUGAAAUCUCGGUGCGCUUGAAAGAGUGCUCCUACAAGGAGUUCACCAACUGCAAGCCAUUGUCCUUCAAAGGGACUGGCGGAGUCAUUGCGCUCUCGCAAUGGUUCGAGAAAAGCGAAUUAGUUUUCGAAAUCGACUCCUGUCCGGAGGAGAGCAAGAUCAAGUUUGCUGCUUGCACCUUUGAAACAAAAGCCCUAACAUGGUGGAAUAGCCAUGUUAAGUCGCUAUCUCUCAUAGUGGCAAAUUCUAUGGGCUGGGAAACUUUGAAAGACCUCAUGAUUGAGGAGUAGUGCCCGAGGGGCGAGAUCCAGAAGCUAGAGGAAGAACUGUGGAGCCUAACCAUGAAGGGCUCCAACAUAGUCGCCUACACCACCAGGUUCUGUGAACUGGUGGCCCUCUGUCCCAACAUGGUUCAUACAGAGGGAAAGAAGAUCGAGAGGUAUAUAUGGGGGCUGAUGCCACCAUACCAGGGAAAUGUAUUGGCAUCACACCCCACUACAUUUGAUAGUGCCAAACGAUUGGUACAACGGCUCAUAGACCAUGGGGUUCGUACCUCGGCCACAACAAAAAACCUGGCCAUCUCAGAACCUUCCAAAACCGCUGACCCUAAGCGGAAGUUCUGGGAGGACAACAAGAAGGCAAAGGCUGCCAAGAAGCAGCAGGUCGUGGCAAUUCAUGCUGCGAUAGCACCUGCCACUGCUGCUCCGGUAAAGCAGUACGCUGGAAGUUUGCCGAAGUGCAACAAAUGUAAGUUCCAUCACGUUGGUGCCUGCCGGGAAAUACAGUGUUUGAACUGCAACGGGAAGGGGCACACUGCUCGUUUCUGUAAAGCUCCGGCGAAGCCAAACAACCAAUUCUCUGGUGCUGGAGUGGGCCAAACUUGCUACGAAUGUGGCGAGGUAGGCCACUUCAAAAGGAACUGCCCGAAGGCAGGGUUUGUCGGUGGAGCGGAAAGAGUUCUGGCCAUAGUCCAUGAGGAAGCGGUUGCCGACCCCACAGUGGUCACUGGUACGUUCCUCCUCGANAUUCAUGCAUCUAUUUGAUAGUGGAGCGGAGAGGAGUUUCGUGAACCAAAAAUUUGCUCAUUUACUUAAGCAAAAAUCACGAGCACUUAAUGAACCGCUCCCUGUAGAAAUGGCUAAUGGAAAGACAGAGAGCACCAACAGCAUAUUCAUAGGUUGUACCCUAACUUUAGAUAGCCAUUCUGUAACAACCGAAAAUUUCCAACCAAUUUAAACUUUUCAAAAACAACCCAUUUUCAUUAAAUGAUUACAAAAAGGUUUUCAAUACAAUUUAUUUAGAGUAUUCCCAGAAUCACAUCACAACAUAAACAUGAGAAGCGGUACGAUCACGCCUUCGCCUUGCCACGAUCUCCUGAAGAGCCUGAAAAACAUUAAACCACAACUGUAAGCCCGAAAGCUUAGUGAGAUAUCCCCAAAAUACCAACCACAUAUACCAUACACACAUCACAUGCAAUAACACAUCCGAUCACAAAACAGCCAUGCACUUCGGGUCUACUGUGUGACUGGUCCGUCGCACCGGCCAACAGUCCACCUGGUCCACCCUCCGAGUCUAGCCAUAUACAUCGAGUCUCUAGUGUGAUUGGUCCGCCCGCACCGGGCCUUCAAUCCACCUGGUCCACUCUCUGAGUCUACAGUAUGACUGGUCCGCCUGCACCGGGCCUUCAGUCGGCCUGGUCCACUCUCCGAGCCUCGGCACGUCUGGUCCGCCCUCUUGGGGCCUACAGCCUAUCCGGACCGCUCGCUGGGCCUUCGGGACAACCGGUCCGCCCUGGGUAUCUUGGCCUACAGCACAAAGCAGGAUCCGCCUCAACCCAACUCCAGUCCAAACAACCAUGUGCACAUAAACAUAAUAUCAUAUAAUAAUUCACAGUCAACAAACUGAUCAACAGAUCACAUAGCAUAUCAUCAUCCUAACCAGGAUACCAACCUAACCGGUCACUAGCAUAGCAUCACCCUACAUAACAGGAUACCGACCUUAACCAGGUCUCUAACACAUACCAUCCUAACUACCAGGAUGCAAACAUAUCAAAGCAAUAACAUAACAACAAAUACCCGGAUCUCAAUCCGAUAAAGGGCCGGCCUUGGUGCCUUAGACCCUGUUGAUAUAGUGAGGAUAACUCACCUCGAAACUGCCGACUGAACAGAUAACCCAAGCUGCUCCGAUCACUGAUACGAUCUCCACCACUGGACAACCACCAAGGCACUGAACUCAAAACAAUAUCCAACAAUUACCAAAAUGCCCCUGGACUCAACUGGUCAACCCUUGGUCAAAGUGAAAGUCAACCCCUGACUGAAUCUACUCGCCGAGUCAACCCGAUGACUCACCGAGUGCCCUAUGCACAGCACUUCCCCAAUCCGCGACUCAACUCGCCGAGUCACCCCGAGACUCGCCGAGUCCGCAAAUUUGAGUCCUUUCACACUCGACUCACCGAUUCAUCCCUCGACUCACCGAUUCACAGCUCAACCAAAAGAAAGGUUAGGACCUCACGACCAGAUUCACCGAGUCCAAGAACAGACUCGCCGAGUCCAAGGUUAUCUGCAUCCAACUCGCCGAUUUGUUCUUCCAACUCGCCGAGCUCCUGCCCAUAUUCAACCAACUCGUCGAGUUCCAGCCUAACUUCAAGCAACUCGCCGAGUACACCCUUGUGGCUCGCCGAGUACCCCUAGAUCUGAAACCACACAGAGGUUUUCCGAGCCAUGCAGAAGCUCUAUAUCAUAGAUCUACUCUUUUACAAACCAUCCAUCAUGUAAAGUGGCAAACUUUACGUGAAUCCAAAGAGAUCUAGGAAUUUACACUCUAGGGCUAGGGUUUGGGACAAGGUAAAUUCACCAAUCACUCAUCAACAGGGACUUUAUGACAUAUAAGACCAUGCCAAGCUUAGAUCUGAAUUAGCAUCCUCAGAUCCAAGCUUCUAUCUCAAUUUAGAUGUCAUAUCAACCACCACACAUGAACCCAUGAAGAAAAUAGCUUAAGGAAAUGGUUCCUUACCCCUAGAAUGAGCCCAACCAACUGAAGAUGCCUGAUCUCCCUAAGCUUCCUGAUACAAGCCUCCAAUCUUCAAGCUUAAAGCACCAAAUAUCCUUCUCCAAGCUCUAAUUCACUCAACAAUGGGGUCUCCUCACGAAUUUAGGGCUUCUGGGACUCAAGGAAUGAUAAGGAGGCUGGGGAGAAGAUAUGAUGUUCUUUAUAUAGGGAUCAACCCUCGAAAUUAGGGUUUUCUCCACUCAGCACCAACUCGCCGAGUCCACCCAUGCUACUCGCCGAGUUGGUCACUUAACACGCGACUAGAGUUGCGACCCUACUCGCCGAGUCCACUCGUGGACUCGCCGAGUUGCCCUUUCCCAUUUACUCUUUUACCCCUUCAACUCUACUCUUGACAUUACGGGAUGUUACAAUUCUCCCCCACUUACAUUAGGCUUCGUCCUCGAAGCCUGCGACAAUUCAUCUCCAGAACUACUCCCGUAAUGCACCACCUGGCAUUAACCAGACCAGGCUCCUUAACGCACAACCUUUGAAACCCGAAACCCAACUCUUCCUCUGUGGUGUCCUGACCACCGCCUCAAGCUGGCCACCGGCUUCACCUUCUGAUGACCCCACUUAACAACUGAGUACUACCCAUGAUGCAACACUGCUCCAAAUCACAACCAUCACUCGACCCAUAUGAGCUAUAAAUAACCAUGCACCACCGAAUUCCCGAUCCGAGUCCAACUCUAUCCAUCCCAUGCUGACAGAAAGACACAUUCUUCAUAGUAAUUCCCAUUAGUUCUCCCCCUUGCAAUCACAUGCACAUACUAAACUAGCUCUAACACCCUCGGGUUAGGAAAAUCCGCCACACUGACGACACCUCCAAACAUCCCCCAGGAUGAACCACUACUACAUACACAAUUCCUUGAUCAGAAUCGAACUGGGAGUCCAAGACUCCAUCCCUGCAUCCCUUUCGAGCCUGUCGGCUCUACACCCGCGGAAUUCCUUCCGCGACCUCAGCAAACAUCCCAUCCGGAUGUGGUCCCCUACCACUGCCGCAAUCACGCUGUUCAAUGACCAUAAUUGGACCACUCCAAUCAUAACUCUGCGAUGCUGCUUCACUUCCGUGAAUUUUCACUCCCUCUUGGAACUACAUUCCUUUCUCUUUCCUUACCAAGGAAAUCCACUUGGCCGCCUUGUCACUACGACAAGUGCCACGGUGCUCGCCCAACGCUACACCACUCCCUUAUAGCAUAACCACUAUCCAUGCAACACACAUGCUUUGAAUUUGCUCGCAAGGACUCUCGAGCCCAUGCACCAUCUCCAUUAAUCAAGAUCAAUACCUGGGGCCAGACCUUCUAAUGCUAACACAACGCAACAUAUUCAAUCCACUUCCUCGAACCGAUCUAACAAUACCCGUAGAGUCUUCAGCAUGACUGGACCGCCUUACCAGGCCUUCAGCCAAUCUGGACCACUCUCAGAACCGUCACCCAAUCUGGACCGCCCUCCAGGGCCUUCAGUCUGGCUGGACCGUUCUCCGAGCCUUCGGCCUAACUGGUAUGCCUACCGGCCUUCAGUCUAUCCGGACCACUCAACUAGCAUUCAUCAUUCCGAGUUACCUCUCCGGGAAAUCCUCCCAUGCAUACUGUUCUAGCCCUCAAAGGGUUCCGAACUCUAUCUCCAUCAUACAUACUCAAUCCCGGCCUAAUCCCAGGCCCUCCACAAUCACAUACCCUAGGUUUGUAUCCCGCCCCGCAUGCCUGCCAGUUACUCAUACCGGCCUAUAGUCUUGACUGACAGAAUCACUGCUGAAUCCCAAGCAGUUAAACAACCUCUCAUGUCCAUCGAUCUUCCGGAGAAUUACCAAUUCUCCCCCACUUAGGGCACUGACUAUCAACCACCGGUCGCUACCACCGACCUCCCAAAACAACUCUGCAUAAAACCAACAAUUACACGCGGACUGAUUUCCACUCGCACUAGCAACCUUCACGAAAAUCCCAUUUCCACACUGAUCAUCCCGCUCAAAAGGAACUCAAUCUUCAGCUAACCACUCCUCAGACCGCAGAUGUUACCCGGCAUUCAGACUAAUGCCAAAUUUCCACUAAUAACCCUCAAGAAUGAUAUCCAACGAAAUUCCAAACACUAACCCAUAACCAUACUAUACCCUCAAGGAACAACGGAUACCAUACCGAAAACCACACAAUGAGACCAACAGAUAAACAAUACUCCACAAUAAUCAUAAAAUGACAAUACAUCGAAAAAGAACAUACCCGCAGCUACAUCCGGCACUGCCCUGACCUCCUCUGCUACAAGCUGAAAAGCACGACCCUGAGCCCUUGGGGGCUCCGCUCCACCCUGACCUCUACCAUGAUCCUCAAAGUGGUCGGCGCUGGAGCCUGCACCGGUCCUGCAGCAAGCUGCGGACAGUUGGCCCUCAAGUGCCCAACCUGAUGACAAUGAUAACAAAUCCUCAAAUCCCGAACCGGCGCUGACUGCCGAUAAUCCCUCACAUAGUGCCCCUCCUUCCCGUACUUACGACAUGCACCAUCGGACCUACAGACUCUGGUGUGACCCCUCCCACACUUCCCACAAGAGUGGCUGCUCUGAUCUCCCACCCUAGAAUCAACGGUCUUGGACCGUUUCGGCGCCGGCUGCGACUGCACCGCAGCCUGCCUCAGCUCACACAACUGCAACUCAAUCUCUAACUCACGCCGCCUGGCGGCCUCCUGCAACUCCAACAAAGUCUCGCACCUCUGCGUAGACACAAACUGUCUGAUAUCCCUCUUGAGCAUGCUCAGAUAUCGAGACAUCUGAGCUUGCUCCGAAGCGAACUCAAGGCAGAACAUCGCCCUCUCAGUGAACAUCCUGGUGAUCUCAGUCACCAACUCUGAACCCUACUUCAGCUCCAGGAACUCCUGAGCCAAUCUCUCUCUUGACCUGCGGAACAUAACGAGUGCUAAACAUCUCUCUGAAUUGAUCCCAUGAAACCGCAGCCCUUUGCGCAUCCGAAUACGACCCCGUGGUCAAUCUCCACCAAUCCUUCGCCCCGAGCCUCAACAGGUUCAGAGCACAUCUCACCCUCUGAUCAGCAGGGCAUGAACACGUGAAGAAACACCCUUCCACGUCCGAUAACCAUCUCAUAGCAACAAUCGGGUCCUGAACUCCAUCAAAGGUGGGAGGCUUUGUAUUAUUGAAGUCCCGAUGCUGAAAACCCCGACCAACUCCUCCCCCUGCCGCUGCUACAGCCGCUGUAGCUGCCGCGACAGCCGUUUCUGUGAGAGCUGCAUGGCGGUCAUCAAAAUACUCAACCAUGGCGGUCUUGAUCGACCCAAACAGUUCCGGCAACUCAGCCCAGAACAACGCAACAACCUCAUCAUGCAGGAUCUCACGAAUCCUCGCAUCCAACUCGCAUGAGCUCAUCUAACCAAUAACCUCGGGCGGUACUGACCCGCCCGGAACUCCUUCUCCUACUCCCGAUCCUGACCCAGAUCCACUCCCAGCAUGCCUCGAAAUCUCCAUACUGAAAAACACCACAAAAUCUGACACUUCCCACAACCCGGGAACCAACUCUCAACCCAACCCUAGAGGUCAUGGUUUCCCUGAUACGCGUAUGGGUCCUGUGCUUUCAGUAGUACGGGCCCAUACUACCUUCCACACCUACCCAUAUUUGUAUGAAGUACUACCACAACACCCUAGAGAAACACAUACAAAACAAGCGCUCAACCCUCACUACUAGAGGAACACUGGAAAUCUCNNNNNNNNNNNNNNNNNNNNNNNNNNNNNNNNNNNNNNNNNNNNNNNNNNNNNNNNNNNNNNNNNNNNNNNNNNNNNNNNNNNNNNNNNNNNNNNNNNNNNNNNNNNNNNNNNNNNNNNNNNNNNNNNNNNNNNNNNNNNNNNNNNNNNNNNNNNNNNNNNNNNNNNNNNNNNNNNNNNNNNNNNNNNNNNNNNNNNNNNNNNNNNNNNNNNNNNNNNNNNNNNNNNNNNNNNNNNNNNNNNNNNNNNNNNNNNNNNNNNNNNNNNNNNNNNNNNNNNNNNNNNNNNNNNNNNNNNNNNNNNNNNNNNNNNNNNNNNNNNNNNNNNNNNNNNNNNNNNNNNNNNNNNNNNNNNNNNNNNNNNNNNNNNNNNNNNNNNNNNNNNNNNNNNNNNNNNNNNNNNNNNNNNNNNNNNNNNNNNNNNNNNNNNNNNNNNNNNNNNNNNNNNNNNNNNNNNNNNNNNNNNNNNNNNNNNNNNNNNNNNNNNNNNNNNNNNNNNNNNNNNNNNNNNNNNNNNNNNNNNNNNNNNNNNNNNNNNNNNNNNNNNNNNNNNNNNNNNNNNNNNNNNNNNNNNNNNNNNNNNNNNNNNNNNNNNNNNNNNNNNNNNNNNNNNNNNNNNNNNNNNNNNNNNNNNNNNNNNNNNNNNNNNNNNNNNNNNNNNNNNNNNNNNNNNNNNNNNNNNNNNNNNNNNNNNNNNNNNNNNNNNNNNNNNNNNNNNNNNNNNNNNNNNNNNNNNNNNNNNNNNNNNNNNNNNNNNNNNNNNNNNNNNNNNNNNNCUCUUCGAGCCUCGGCAUGUCUUGUCUGCCCUCUUGGGGCCUACAGCCUAUCCGGACCGCUCGUCGGGCCUUCGGGACAACCGGUCUGCCCUGGGUAUCUUGGCCUACAACACAAAGCAGGACCCGCCUCAACCCAACUCCAGUCCAAACAACCAUGUGCACAUAAACAUACUAUCAUAUAAUAAUUCACAGUCAACAAACCGAUCAACAGAUCACAUAGCAUAUCAUCAUCCUAACCAGGAUACCAACCUAACCGGUCACUAGCAUAGCAUCACCCUACAUAACAGGAUACCGACCUUAACCAGGUCUCUAACACAUACCAUCCUAACUACCAGGAUGCAAACAUAUCAAAGCAAUAACAUAACAACAAACACCCGGAUCUCGAUCCGAUAAAGGGUCGGCCUUGGUGCCUUAGACCCUGUUGAUAUAGUGAGGAUAACUCACCUCGCAACUGCCGGCUGAAAAGAUAAACCUGAGUUGCUCCGACCACUGAUAAGAUCUCCACCACUCGCCAACCACCAAAACACUGAACUUAAAACAAUAUCCAACAAUUACCAAAAUUCCCCUGGACUCAACUGGUCAACCCUUGGUCAAAGUCAAAGUCAACCCCUGACUGACUCUACUCACCGAGUCAACCCGAUGACUCGCCGAGUCCCCUAUGCACAACACUUCCCCAAUCCGCGACUCAACUCGCCGAGUCACCCCGAGACUCGCCGAGUCCGCAAAUCUGAGUCCUUUCACACUCGACUCACCGAUUCACAGCUCAACCAGAAGAAAGGUUAGGACCUCACGACCAGACUCGCCGAGUCCAAGGCUAUCUGCAACCAACUCGCUGAGUUGUUCUUCCAACUCGCCGAGUUCCUGCCCAUAUUCAACCAACUCACCGAGUUGUUCUUCCAAUUCGCCGAGUUCCAGCCUAACUUCAAGCAACUCGCCGAGUACACCCUUGUGACUCGCCGAGUACCCCUAGAUCUGAAACCACACAGAGGCUUUCCAAGCCAUGUAGAAGCUCUAAAUCAUAGAUCUACUCUUUUACAAGCCAUCCAUCACGUAAAGUGGCAAACUUUACGUGAAUCCAAAGAGAUCUAGGCAUUUACACUCUAGGGCUAGGGUUUGGGACAAGGUAGCUUCACCAAUCACUCAUCAACAGGGACUUUAUGACAUAUAAGACCAUCCCAAGAUUAGAUCUGAAGUAGCAUCCUCAGAUCCAAGCUUCUAUCUUAAUUUAGAUGUCAUAUCAACCACCACACAUGAACCCAUGAAGAAAAUAGCUUAAGGAAAUGGUUCCUUACCCCUAGAAUGAGCCCAACCAACUGAGGAUUCCUAAUCUCCCCAAGCUUCCUGAUACAAGCCUCCAAUCUUCAAGCUUAAAGCACCAAAUAUCCUUCUCCAAGCUCUAAUUCACUCAACAAUGGGGUCUCCUCACGAAUUUAGGGCUUCUGGGACUCAUGGAAUGAUAAGGAGGCUGGGGAAAAGAUAUGAUGUUCUUUAUAUAGGGCUCAACCCUCGAAAUUAGGGUUUUCUCCACUCAGCACCAACUCGCCGAGUCCACCCAUGCUACUCGCCGAGUUGGUCACUUAACACACGACUAGAGUCGCGACCCUACUCGCCGAGUCCACUCGUGGACUCGCCGAGUUGCCCUUUCCCAAAUACACUUUUAUCCCUUCAACUCUACUCUUGAUAUUCCNGAUGUUACACAUUCAUUUUCGAUUGAUCUCAUGCCGGUCUCAAUUAAAAGUUUCGACGUCAUUAUCGGUAUGGAUUGGUUGAGUUUACAUCGUGUCGAUAUCAUGUGUUACGAAAGGCUGUUCGCCUUAAUCUAUUGUCUGGCGAAACCCUAGUACUUUAAGGCGACAAACCCGACACGAACCUUCGUAUGAUCUCGAGCAUUCAAGCUCAGAAAUUCUUGCGAAAGGAAUGUUGAGCAUUCCUUGCUCAUGUAGUCGAUGUGAGCCAAGAAACUAAGGACAUUCUGAACAUUCCUGUAGUACGCGACUUUCCCGACGUCUUUCCAGAAGAACUCCCAGGAUUACCUCUGCAACGUCAAGUCGAGUUCCGAAUCGACUUAGUUCUAGGGGCUACCCCUGUAGCCAAAUUGCCCUAUCGUCUAUCACCUGCAGAGAUGCAAAAGUUGUCCUGCCAACUUAACGAACUGCUCAGUAAGGGCUUUAUAAGACCAAGCUUCUCACCCUGGGGAGCUCCAGUCUUGUUCGUCAAGAAGAAAGACGGAUCGUUUCGUAUGUGGAUCGACUACAGGGAGCUCAACAAACUGACCGUCAAAAAUCGUUAUCCUUUGCCUCGUAUUGACGAUUUAUUUGACCAACUUCAAGGGACGAACUUCUUUUCAAAAAUCGACUUAAGAUCCGGAUAUCACCAACUACGAGUGUUAGGGGAGGAUGUUCCAAAGACAGCCUUCCGAACUUGUUAUGGGCACUACAAAUUUGUAGUGAUGCCAUUCGGAUGUGUCGGGUGUGUCGUCCUUACCUGGAUCAGUUCAUCAUCGUCUUCAUCGAUGACAUACUUAUCUACUCUCGUAGUAAGGAGGAGCAUAGUCAACAUCUGCGUCAAGUCCUAGAAACAUUACAUUCGGAGAAGCUCUACGCGAAGUUCUCGAAAUGCGAAUUUUGGAUCCGACGAGUCAUAUUCUUAGGGCACGUGGUUAGCGAAGAGGGAAUUCACGUGGACCCUUCCAAAAUCAAAUCCAUUGAGAACUGGUCAGCACCGAAGACGCCUAUAGAAAUUCAUCAAUUUCUAGGCCUUGCUGGCUACUAUCGCAGGUUCAUUCAGAACUUCUCCCGCAUUGUGAAACCUUUUACAACACUGACCUAGAAGGGCGUGGCCUUUGACUGGGAAGAGAAGCAGGAAAGAGCGUUUUAAACGCUCAAAUGAGCCUUGUGCACCUCACCAAUACUAUCCCUCCUCGAAGGGAUAGAAGACUUCGUUGUCUAUUGUGAUGCAUCGAAUCAAGGACUCGGAUGUGUUCUGAUGCAGCGAGGUAAGGUCAUCACCUAUGCCUCGAGACAGCUAAAGACACAUGAGGUCAACUACACGACCCACGAUCUUGAGCUGGGAGCAGUUGUGUUUGCUCUGAAGAUUUGGUGACACUACCUGUACGGUACAAAAAACACUAUCUUUACAGACCACAAAAGCCUACAACACAUAUUCGACCAGAAGGAGCUCAACAUAAGACAACGACAGUGGGUCGAGCUACUCAGUGAUUACGAAUGCGAAAUUCGUUAUCAUCCGAGUAAAGCCAAUGUAGUAGCUGACGCCCUAAGUCGGAAAGAAUAUUCUGGUCGUAGAGUCAAAUCAUUGACUAUGACUAUCCAUUCACACUCUUCCACACAAAUUAAGGCGGCUCAGCUCGACACUUUGAAGCCUGAAAAUGUGGCGGGUGAGUCCCUGAGGGGGAUGGAUAAGAACUUGAAGGUUAAGGGUGGCAGAGCUUAUUAUUUCAUGGACUAGAUCUGGACCCCGAAACUCGGUGGUUUCAGAGACUUGGUCAUGAACGAGGCGCACAACACUCGUUAUUCCGUGCACCCGGGUUCAGAUAAGAUGUAUCUGGAUCUUAAAAAGUUAUACUGGUGGCCUAACAUGAAAGCAGAAAUUGCUACUUUCGUGAGUAAAUACCUUACUUGCGCAAAGGUCAAGGUCGAAUACCAGAAACCUUCCGGUCUACUACAACAACCUGAAAUACCGGAAUGGAAGUGGGAGUGGAUCACUAUGGAUUUCAUAACCAAGUUACCCAAGACAACGGGUGGACUUGAUACCAUAUGGGUCAUCGUCGACAGAUUGACCAAGUCUGCACACUUCCUGCCUAUCAAGGAAACACACAAGAUGGAGAAACUUACAAGAACUUACACUAGAGAGAUUGUACGACUGCACGGUGUUCCCUUAUCCAUUAUCUCAGACAGAGAUAGUAGAUUCACUUCGAGGUUCUAGCAGUCAUUACAAAGUUCCUUACGAACUAGGCAGGACAUGAGUACAGCCUACCAUCCACAGACCGAAGGGCAAAGUGAGCGAACUAUCCAAACCUUGGAAGAUAUGUUGCGAGGAUGUGUGAUCGACUUUGGGAAAGCAUGGGAUACUCAUUUACCCCUGGUCGAAUUUUCCUACAACAACAGUUAUCACACGAGCAUAAAGGCUACUCCAUUCGAGGCCCUCUAUGGCCGAAAGUGCAUAUCCCCUCUGUGGUGGGCUGAGGUGGGUGAUACCCAGUUAGCAAAAGGAAGAGUUCCUGACAGCAUUCUCACAGGUCCGUAGAUCAUACAGGAAAUGAUAGAGAAGAUCGUUCAGAUUCGUGAACAAUUAAAAGCCUCUAGAGACCGACAGAAAAGCUACGCUGAUAAGCGAAGGAAACCGUUGAAAUUCCAGGUGGGCGACCGCGUUCUGUAACGCCUGUGUUUCUGGACCUGUCAUUAAUGUUGAUAUAAUAGUCUAGGUUAACCUUUGUAACCCGUUUUGAAAUAAUAGAAGUAUAUUAUUUGAGUAUUAUGUGUUUUGUGCUUAAUUCCUUAAUUAUGUGGUUUGAUUAAUUAAGAAUACAAAUAAGCGUCAAAAUUUAAGUGUAAAAUUAACUCGUUAUCUUUGGAUAAAGUUGUAGUAGUUAAAACGAGGUUUCCGAAUAUAUAUAAAGAACGCCCAAAUCUGACUUCGUAUGAGGAAGUUAUGAUUUUCUGAAGUUUCGACUUAGCAAUAUGCAGCCCGAAAUACUCGAUUUGAGAUCCAGCGGUUUUUAGCCGAAACAAUAUAAACGGGAAUCGAAUAUCUCGUUGUUGGUAUCGAAGCGAUGAAAAGUUAGGUGAGAACGGACGUCAAAUAAAGAAGUUAUGAAUUUAUAACGAAGUUUUUCUAUCCCGGCCUUCUAAAAAUAUAUAAUAAAAAUAACGUCAAAAUUAGCCGACGGAGUCUAAAGGAAAGUUGUAGAGCGUAGUCUCACCUACGCGUUGAUAUAUAGAACGUCGAAAACGGAGUUCGUAUGAAGAAGAUAUGAAUUUCCGAAGUUUAUUAAAUAAUUAAUAUUUAAAUUUAAUUAUAAAAUCCGGUAUUAUCCGAAGGGGAGUCAUCGGACUCAUCUGAAGUACGCCCAGCGUACAGCGAAGCGUGACGUCCCUCGCACUCGAGUUCUUCGGAUGACGCAUGCCAUGACGAUUCGGAUGCGUACGCCCCGCGUACUUCUGUACGCCCAGCGUACUCCGAGGCUCCAGCCUCCUAUAAAUAGGAUGCGAGGGCAGCCGAGUUCUUUUGCUUUUUUCUCUCUUCUCUCUCCCGUUUUGCAUCGAUUUGCGUGCCAGAAAUACCCCGAAGCCCCGGUAUUAUUCUCGAGCCCCGAAGCAAGUCCCGAGAUCCCGAAGAUCCCGAGAAGUGCGAUUCCCGAGCCGAAGCUCUGCCCGCGAGAAGUUCGAUUUUUGUGGAGAUCUUCCAGAUCUGCCGAGGAAUACUACUUCUACAAGCCGUAGUGCUGUCUGAUCAUCUUCUGAUCAAGUGAGUGUAUACUACCUUUCAUAAACACGAUAAUAAUACAAGUAUGGUUUGAGUGUAUUAAGUAUAUUGUUGUUUAUGUGUAUAAUUUUGUUGUUAUAAGUGUGAAUGUAUAUUCAUUCUCUUCUAUCUCAUAGAUCUGAUUUACUUUCUAUGAAAUACGUGUUAUGUGGGUGUGCCUCAUCUGUUAUGUGGAAUAUGUAUUGAAUGAAAAUGAUAUACAGGUUUUAAACUAUGUAUGAAAAUAUAUAUUUUUAUCUACUAAUAUGUUGGGUAGAACAUGGGUAGAUAGUUGGUGUGUAAUAAACAGAUGAGAGGCCUCGAUGUUGUUGUUGUUGUUGAUCUAGUUAUUCAGCGGAGUAUGGAUAACGACCACGGACUCUUUCUAGACAGUCCAGUGGAACGCUAGCAGGUUCAUAACCUGUAGGUGUUGUGAACGAUGUGUUCACCGGUGUACUCUAUCCCCCUCAUGGUUGCCUUUAGGAUAUCUAUUGUUGAGGAAACCCCUUAGCAGUAAUGUCCGUCCCGAUGAAAAUCCUAGAUUAGGUCCCUUGAGAUAGAUGUUGUUUUAGGGACGUAAAGUGAGGAUAACGGGAAUGGGUAAUCGGGAUAGUGAUUGGUUGGUGAAAUUAAAUAUAAUUUAUUUAUUGUGGGUUGAAAACCCUAUAUGCUCACCAGGCUCCCAAGCCUGACCCACUCAGUUUUAUUUGUAUUACAGGAAGUGGCGCAAGGGCGUAAGAUGGAUGAAUCAUCGAGUUGUUUUGUUUACAAGUCUGUUUAUGUAUAUAUUUGUUGAAUGACUUGUAAUGUUAUCGUUUAUGCUUUAUGGUCUGUAUCGGAACAUAACAUCCCGAGUUUUGAUUAUAUAAUGAAAAUGCAUCUCUUGAUGAAAUGCUUUGAUAAAUAUGAUUUUAUCAUGUUUAGUUUUGGAAACAAAUUCCGCAACACUUUUAAAUCAAAAGGAUUUACUCUGAAAUUAUUUUAAAAAGCAUAAAUGAAAUCGGUCUUUUAUGGCUGUGAUUUUGGGGAUGUCACACGUUCUAUUGAAGGUCUCACCCUGGAAGGGCUUGAUACGCUUCAGAAAUCGUGGAAAGCUAAAUCCAAGGUACAUAGGGCCUUUCAAGAUUCUCGAAAGAAUCGACCUUGUAGCUUACAAACUUAACUUACCACGCGAACUCAGUAACGUACAUUCUACCUUCCACGUCUCAAACUUGAAAAAGUGUCUGUCCGACGAGACUCUUGUAAUCCCACUCGACGAGAUCAAGGUCAACGAGAGCCUCAACUUCGUGGAAGAACCAGUAGAGAUCAUGGACCGAGAGGUCAAGCAAAUAAAGAAAAGCUGUAUCCCGAUAGUGAAGGUUCACUGGAACGCCAAGCGAGGACCUGAAUUCACUUGGGAGCGAGAUGAUCAGAUGAAACCGAAAUAUCCUCUUCUUUUUACUUAGUUAUUUGUAACCACUUAUUUACUUAAACUCUAAUUUCGGGACAAAAUUUCUUCUAAGGAGGGGAUGAUGUGACAACCCGAAAUUUCUAUUAUGUACAACAUUUCCAUUCAAUAGAAGUCAGAACAGUUUCGGGAAACUUUCAAGCCUUUUGGAAUAAGUUUGAGUAUUUUAGGAUUAACAACUUAGGAGAUAUCAGGAGAGAGGAUUCCCUAGGGUUUAUUGUGCAAUAAUAAAGUCCCGACACAUCAAAAGUCUAGAGUUUACGGCCUAAACAAGGAGUUUACGGCCGUAAACCCUAAAGGAAAGUGGUAUAAAAGUGACACUUAGUUAUGUACCAUUUUUCCAACUUUCAAGAUCCAAAUCUCAAACUCUCUCAAGUAUCAUCCAAAGAUUUCUUCAAGAUCUUCACCUAGUAAGUGUUUCUAGCCCUUUCAAGAUAGUAUAUCACUUAAUCUAGUGAUUUAACACACUUUUAUCCAUGAAAUCCUUCCAAAAGGUUGAUUCUUCAAGUUUCACCAAGAACACACACUAGUGUUCUUGGACUUUUGGACCUUUUUCAAGCUUCUAUAUUGUAAGUACUUCUAUCCUAGAGUAUGUUAAGGCUUGAUACACUUCUUUACAUCAAGAAAACACCAUUGAAACCCAAGAUCAAAGGUGUUUACGGUCCAAGAACACCUUGGACCGUAAACCCUAAUUUAGGGGCCAAAGUGACCCUAGUCCCUUCACAAGCUUUGGAAACUAGUCUAGACUCAUUCCUUAAUAUGUUUAGGACUUGAAAGCAUAAAUAUACCAUAUUCCAUAAGGGUUUACGGUAGUAAACCCAAAAGGAAAUGGCCUUAGGGCCAUAAACUCCUCAAAGGAGGGAAAUGGUGCCCUA